RNAcentral lists this non-coding RNA (27 nucleotides) under Mus musculus (house mouse). The record is from RNAcentral. Lineage: Eukaryota; Metazoa; Chordata; Mammalia; Rodentia; Muridae.
UGGAAAGCUGUCUGUGAGGUUGCUCGG